RNAcentral lists this ribosomal RNA (460 nucleotides) under uncultured bacterium. Its description in RNAcentral is "partial 16S ribosomal RNA". It matches the Rfam family "Bacterial small subunit ribosomal RNA", at positions 28 to 507 of the family's 1533-position model. The record is from RNAcentral.
GACGAACGCUGGCGGCGUGCUUAACACAUGCAAGUCGAGCGGUAAGGCCUCUUCGGGGGUACACGAGCGGCGAACGGGUGAGUAACACGUGGGUGACCUGCCCUCAGCUCUGGGAUAAGCCUGGGAAACUGGGUCUAAUACCGGAUAUGACCUUUCCUCGCAUGGGGUUCGGUGGAAAGUUUUUUCGGCUGGGGAUGGGCCCGCGGCCUAUCAGCUUGUUGGUGGGGUGAUGGCCUACCAAGGCGACGACGGGUAGCCGGCCUGAGAGGGCGACCGGCCACACUGGGACUGAGACACGGCCCAGACUCCUACGGGAGGCAGCAGUGGGGAAUAGUGCGCAAUGGGCGGAAGCCUGACGCAGCGACGCCGCGUGGGGGAUGACGGCCUUCGGGUUGUAAACCUCUUUCGACCCCGACGAAUUUGGACGGUAGGGGUAGAAGAAGCACCGGCCAACUACGUG